This 69-nucleotide transfer RNA is filed under the name Rattus norvegicus (Norway rat). It matches the Rfam family "tRNA". Rfam says of the family: Transfer RNA (tRNA) molecules are approximately 80 nucleotides in length. Their secondary structure includes four short double-helical elements and three loops (D, anti-codon, and T loops). Further hydrogen bonds mediate the characteristic L-shaped molecular structure. tRNAs have two regions of fundamental functional importance: the anti-codon, which is responsible for specific mRNA codon recognition, and the 3' end, to which the tRNAs corresponding amino acid is attached (by aminoacyl-tRNA synthetases). tRNAs cope with the degeneracy of the genetic code in two manners: having more than one tRNA (with a specific anti-codon) for a particular amino acid; and 'wobble' base-pairing, i.e. permitting non-standard base-pairing at the 3rd anti-codon position. Lineage: Eukaryota; Metazoa; Chordata; Mammalia; Rodentia; Muridae. The record is from Rfam by way of RNAcentral.
GGGGAUUUAGCUCAGCGGUAGAGCGCUUGCCUAGCAAACGCAAGGCCCUGGGUUCGGUUCCCAGCUCCG